CCUACGGGAGGCAGCAGUGGGGGAUAUUUCACAAUGGGGGGAACCCUGAUGCAGCGACGCCGCGUGGGUGAAGAAGCGCCUCGGCGCGUAAAGCCCUGUCAGCAGGGAAGAAAAUGACGGUACCUGCAGAAGAAUCCCCGGCUAACUACUUGCCAGCAGCCGCGGUAAUACGUAGGGGGCAAGCGUUAUUCUGAUUUACUGGGUGUAAAGGGGGCGCAGACGGCGAUGCAAGCCAGAAGUGAAAGCCCGGGGCCCAACCCCGGGACUGCUCUUGGAACUGCGUGGCUGGAGUGCAGGAGGGGCAGGCGGAAUGCCUGGUGUAGCGGUGAAAUGCGUAGAUAUAAGGAGGAACACCGGUGGCGAAGGCGGACUGCUGGACUGCAACUGACGUGGAGGCUCGAAAGCGUGGGGAGCAAACAGGAUUAGAUACCCCAGUAGUC
This 440-nucleotide ribosomal RNA is filed under the name uncultured bacterium. RNAcentral describes it as "partial 16S ribosomal RNA". It matches the Rfam family "Bacterial small subunit ribosomal RNA", at positions 338 to 795 of the family's 1533-position model. The record is from RNAcentral.